RNAcentral lists this long non-coding RNA (257 nucleotides) under Pan troglodytes (chimpanzee). RNAcentral describes it as "lincRNA". Lineage: Eukaryota; Metazoa; Chordata; Mammalia; Primates; Hominidae. The record is from RNAcentral.
CUUAAAAUGUCACCUGAUGUUAGUUGUCCCUCACUGAUUCAAGUAAUUUCCAUUAUUCAGGUGGACCUGGCUGUUGGUGGAGAUCCCUAGACUGCAUGGGGCCAUGGGCAUGAUCUGGAGACACAGUAGAGGCAAGGUCUUUGUUGCUCAGGAUGGAGUGUAGUGGUGCCAUAGCUCACUGUAACCUUGAAUUUCUGGGCUACUGGCAUACACCACCAUGCUUGGAUUCAGGCCACAACACCCCUGAGUUUACCGGU